This 253-nucleotide ribosomal RNA is filed under the name uncultured bacterium. RNAcentral describes it as "partial 16S ribosomal RNA". It matches the Rfam family "Bacterial small subunit ribosomal RNA", at positions 524 to 776 of the family's 1533-position model. The record is from RNAcentral.
UACGAAGGGGGCUAGCGUUGUUCGGAUUUACUGGGCGUAAAGCGCACGUAGGCGGAUCGUUAAGUCGGGGGUGAAAUCCUGGAGCUCAACUCCAGAUCUGCCUUCGAUACUGGCGAUCUCGAGUCCGGAAGAGGUGAGUGGAACUCCUAGUGUAGAGGUGGAAUUCGUAGAUAUUAGGAAGAACACCAGUGGCGAAGGCGGCUCACUGGUCCGGUACUGACGCUGAGGUGCGAAAGCGUGGGGAGCAAACAGG